AUUCAGGCGCACAAGAUGAAGCAGAGCUCUUGCAGGAAUGGUUUAAGCUGGCUCUGGAGAAGAAUAAAUUAAUGCGAUAUGAGUCAGAGCUCCUGAUCAUGGCCCAAGAAUUAGAAUUGGAAGAUCAUCAAAGCAGACUGGAACAGAAAUUAAGACAGAAAAUGCUCAAGGAGGGUGAGUACAAUGAUGUGUGUUUGGGUCCCUGUGAAGGACAUUUUCCCCAGAAAGGCACUUGCACAGAGCGCAGCCCAAAGCAGGGCGCUCUUCCCAUCUUGCGCGAGCAGCCUGGAGGCGAAGGGGGAGGCUGGAGAGGUGGAAGCCCACCGCCUGCCCAGCAAGGCACUUCUGGCUUCGUUCACCUGGGCUGUGAGGGCAGCAUGGGACUCCAUCCCACAGGCUAA
This 401-nucleotide long non-coding RNA is filed under the name Ailuropoda melanoleuca (giant panda). RNAcentral describes it as "lncRNA (ENSAMEG00000027411.1)". The record is from RNAcentral. Lineage: Eukaryota; Metazoa; Chordata; Mammalia; Carnivora; Ursidae.